CCUACGGGAGGCAGCAGUCGAGAAUCAUUCACAAUGGGGGAAACCCUGAUGGUGCGACGCCGCGUGGGGGAAUGAAGGUCUUCGGAUUGUAAACCCCUGUCAUGUGGGAGCAAAUUAAAAAGAUAGUACCACAAGAGGAAGAGACGGCUAACUCUGUGCCAGCAGCCGCGGUAAUACAGAGGUCUCGAGCGUUGUUCGGAAUCACUGGGCGUAAGGCGUGCGUAGGCUGUUUCGUAAGUCGUGUGUGAAAGGCGCGGGCUCAACCCGCGGACGGCACAUGAUACUGCGAGACUAGAGUAAUGGAGGGGGAACCGGAAUUCUAGGUGUAGCAGUGAAAUGCGUAGAGAUGGAGAGGAACACUCGUGGCGAAGGCGGGUUCCUGGACAUUAACUGACGCUGAGGCACGAAGGCCAGGGGAGCGAAAGGGAUUAGAUACCCCUGUAGUC
RNAcentral lists this ribosomal RNA (446 nucleotides) under uncultured bacterium. RNAcentral's name for it is "partial 16S ribosomal RNA". It matches the Rfam family "Bacterial small subunit ribosomal RNA", at positions 338 to 795 of the family's 1533-position model. The record is from RNAcentral.